RNAcentral lists this ribosomal RNA (394 nucleotides) under uncultured bacterium. Its description in RNAcentral is "partial 16S ribosomal RNA". It matches the Rfam family "Bacterial small subunit ribosomal RNA", at positions 523 to 918 of the family's 1533-position model. The record is from RNAcentral.
AUACGUAGGGAGCGAGCGUUGUCCGGAAUUACUGGGCGUAAAGGGCGCGUAGGCGGCGCUUCAAGUCGUCUGUCAAAUGGAAGGGCUUAACCCUUUUUCGCAGGCGAAACUGGAGAGCUUGAGAAGCAGAGAGGCAAACAGAAUUCCUGGUGUAGCGGUGAAAUGCGUAGAUAUCAGGAAGAAUACCAGUGGCGAAGGCGGUUUGCUGGCUGCAUACUGACGCUGAAGCGCGAAAGCCAGGGGAGCGAACGGGAUUAGAUACCCCGGUAGUCCUGGCAGUAAACGAUGUAUGCUGGGUGUGAGACUAGCGAUAGUUUCGUGCCGAAGUUAACGCGAUAAGCAUACCGCCUGGGGAGUACGGUCGCAAGAUUGAAACUCAAAGGAAUUGACGGGG